GGUAAGCGCUGGCAGGGGGCCGGUGGAGGACGUAGGAGGCGGACGUGAGAGGGACUUAGUGGGGGUAAAGGGGAAGCAGGCGGUCUGGUAAGGUGGACGUAAAAUCGCCGGGCUGAACGGGGAGGGGGCGGUGGAGACUGGCAGACUUGGGGCGAUGAGAGGUGCAUGGAAUUCCCGGUGUAGUGGUGGAAUGCGUAGAGAUCGGGAGGAACACCAGAGGCGAAAGCGGUGCCCUGGCAUUGGCCUGACGCUGAGAUGCGAAAGCGUGGGGAGCGAACGGGAUUAGAUACCCCGGUAGUC
Molecule: ribosomal RNA, 300 nt
Filed under: uncultured Proteus sp.
Lineage: Bacteria; Pseudomonadati; Pseudomonadota; Gammaproteobacteria; Enterobacterales; Morganellaceae
Description: bacterial SSU rRNA
Rfam family: Bacterial small subunit ribosomal RNA (bases 52-300)
Source: RNAcentral